CUUUUCAUUGCAUAUUUCAGAAGCUCAUUCAAACAUGCAUACCAGUAACUACAUAGAGCUAUGAACUUAAGAGUUUCAUUAUAAGCUAUUUAGGGUAUCUUAGAGAUUCCAAAAAGUAUACAUGGAGUUUCUUUUUCGCUUUAUUUAUUUAUUCAAUUUUUUGGUCCAAAAUAAAUAGUAUAGUUAGAGAGAAUGUACACAUAGUUUGGUCUCAGAAUCUCAAAGGUGACAAAUAAGCCAGAAUCAAAUUAACUCAGCAUAUUAUAUCCUCAUUUGCAAGCAGAAAGUUGAGUCCAAAGCAACCAAAAACUUACUUGAUUUUUGGCUUUCUGCAAUA
Molecule: unclassified non-coding RNA, 337 nt
Filed under: Hevea brasiliensis (rubber tree)
Lineage: Eukaryota; Viridiplantae; Streptophyta; Magnoliopsida; Malpighiales; Euphorbiaceae
Source: RNAcentral